CAGAAAGUGGAAGUGCUCCUGGAGGGAUCGCACAAACGAAACGUAUCUGUUUCUCUCUGAAGCACACCAAUCUGAUUGAUCUUCAAUAAAAUCCUCAUCUGUCCAUUCCUUGACAAAGCAGGCCACCUCUCUCUCUCUCCCUUCACACACACACACACACACACACAGCCGCACACAGACGCACGCAAGGCGAUCUAUACAAGGACACAAGUCACGUAGCUCGUUUACGCGGGCUUUUGUUGGGAUCGUCGUUUCGUUUUCCUUCUCGUCUUCUCGUUUCGCCUGGUUGUUUUCCUUUUGUGAGCACAGGCGUUGACCUGCAUCUUCACCGGUGACGCGUCUGCUGCUUUGUUGCUCUUUGUAGUUUUCGUAUCGCGUCGUCUUCGCUCAUCCUUUUCGCGUCUGUUUCGGCCCCCCGUCUAUUGUACGAUUUCAUCGUUUUCUCUUACAGCGCGAUGGGGUCCUCGAGCUCAACGUUGGAGACGGCCAAGCUUGUCCGGAUGCUCCUCUCUGAGGAUGCAGCCUCUCCUGAGUCGCUGAGUCAGCUUCUUAACAUGACCAUGACAGAGGAGGAAACGAGCCGGAUCUUUACAGUGGAGAAAGUUCGUCAGCUGCGGCACCUCUACACGCGCAACUUCGCAGCCUUGCUGUACCGCUGCAUUGGCGCCAUCUCGGCGGUGGCCGUGAAGCGGCACGAGAUCAACACCAGCACCAACCCCCCCAGUGCACUUCUCACGACGGAGGUGAUGACGCAGUACCACUCCGCGCUGCGCAUCCUGCUCUGCAUCCUGCCCAUAGCACUUGAAAACGGGGCAACACCGCUUGAGGAUGCGGCGGAUGCGUCCCCGAAGAGCAAAGAUCCAGCGGCCCCUGCAGGAGCAGACGAUGCCACGCCACCACCAGCAGCCAUGACCCGCUCACGGACGGCAGCCACAGCGCACUUCCAGCAGCUCUUUUUUGUUGAAGGGAAGACCUGUGACGAUGCGAAUCCGGAGGACACCUUUCCGUUGCUGCCGCGGCAGAACGCGCAUCUCUCCCCAACACAGCUGUGCACCGAACCGCUUCCGCUGGGGUCGUUCAUGGUGUGGUCGUUGGUCGAGUGCUGCUUUGUGCGUGGUCUGACCUUGCCGGAGUAUCCGGUGCUGCCAACGGAAGCCAGCGUCAGCAUCACGCAUACGGAGGUAGACACAGGACUGAUGUGGUGCCCGGGGCUUGCUUCCGAAGAUCCUAUCCAAGCUCUUGCGAUCAACACGAGUACGCCGAGCUUUACCUGGGCGACGCCACGACUUCCUCGACGGCGGAAAGCACUCCUCGAAGUUCUUUUUGUGGCACUGUCCUCGCUGAUCUACCAUGAAGCCGGUUUCCGAGAUACCAUCUUCCUGGAGCCGCUUCUGUCCACCUCGACGGUGCCGUUGACGCCCACACUCUCCAUCUCAAUGCUCAACACUAUUCUUCAGUUCGUCCCGUAUGGAUAUUUGCCCUACACAAGUCACCUCGGUGUCGAGGAAAAGGAACUGGUAGUGGCGAGCGCCCGACUGCUCAACGCAACCUUGUGCUACAUGGGUGUCCCGCUGGAUCCCAUCCUUCCGUCCGAGAGGCAGCACUCCGUGGCAGAUGGCGCCGGCCCGUCACUGGAUCAGCGAAUUUCACAGGCGAGUGAUAUGCGCGUCAGUGAGCCGGUGAACUCUACGGUGGCAGACGGGCCAGAGACAAGCACCCUUAGCCACCGGAAUGGAAGCCAUCCCAUCUGCGAUUCAGGGGGGUCGUCACGAACUGCCUCAAGCCGCACCGGCGCUCUCUGUGACGCUCUCGUAUCAAACACAUUGCACUCGCCGCCCGACAGCAUCGAGCCUUCUACGACGCCGCUGCCGCAUAUCGGACCGCCGCGCUUCGUGCACAGUGUGCGCAAGGCGCUCCGGGACAUCACCCUAACUGAGGCAAAGGCACUCGUGCAGCGCAUGCAGGUCAUCCUUGGUGUGAAUGUGUACUCCAGUCAGACGUACCUGCCUGUUUCGCAGGGCUGGUUUGCCUCCUUGGAUGACUUCAUGGUGCUCUUUUGGAAGAUACUGGACUUGUCACCAGCGUGUCUGGCACAGUUCGGUACAAGCUCCCACGCCUUGGACUACGUCAUCCCCAUUCUCGAUUACGCCCUCGCCGUGCGUCGCAGCCCGCUCUACACGUACCAGUUCCAGCUAAUGCUCUUCGUGCUGACUCGACUCUCUGAGGUGCGGGGGUUCGUGCUGCAGUGCAACCAAGUGUGCAGCGCAGCCCUGCCCUUUCGCUUUCCGAAGAUGUCUCCGGCGCGCACGUACAAUGGCCUUAUCGUGCUUGCCUUGUGUCUUGUAAUGGAGAUGAAAGACCUGCAGGCACUCGUUCCGCUUUUCCCUUCGUGCACCGUGGUGCUGGCGAACAUGGCGCCGUUUAUCACCUCUCUCGGACGAGAGCCGUCCAUCAAGCUGGUUUCCGUUUUCGCCCAAGUCACCUACCGCUGUUUGCGCAGCACCUUACCAAGUUCGCCUGGCAACAGCACAACAGGGGAUACUUUAGGCGGUUCGUUUACUUCGGCGGGGACGUCAAACAACCUUGUGCACCAAUCUCAAAUGGUGAAUCUGUGCGAAGCCAUUGCAAGUUUGCUGCAAUACCAAGCCAAUGGCUCCCUGUACCUGAUUGCUGCCCUUGUGGACCACCGCGCAGUCGUGCGAGAGGCGAAGGACGCCUACGUGGUGCAGCGCACCAAGGAACUCGCAGUGGGGCUUCCUUUGCCGUUUCUUAUCAACACGCUCGACGCCGCGGUAGCGGUGGCGCUUCCGGUGCUGGAGAGCACCGAUGCGCUGCGGAAGAUCACCAAGUACUAUGUGGACACAACGUCUGAGGCGACCGUGAAUAAUGGAACAGCUGCCGCUGAGACAACGAGAGCGUUUGCACUUCAGGUGGGGAUGGGUGAGUCGGGUGCUGGGCUGGCGGCCAGCGACGAGGCUGUUGAUCGACUGCGGUCAGUGACGUUGGUGGGCGUGCUCCCUACACCGCACAGCAUCGUUGUUCGAAAAUUUCAAUCCACUAAGAGCGUCGAGCAGUGGACGGCGACGACGUUCUGGACAAGCGCGUACAUUCACUCGCAAGCUGGGGUGCUGGGCGACCGAACUUCGGUAAAGCUGGUGCAGUUUGUGUGAAGAGAGCCUAUGUGCGCGUUGCAUGCAGCGAAAAGGAAACGAAAAACAAAAGGUGAAAGACAUGCGUCGGUGAAAUAGGUGUCCUUGUGUCCGUACAUGCACACACACAAAAAUGUGUGUGUGUGUGCAUGUGCGACAGUUCGAGAAAGCGUGCGUGGGAAGGUGAUGAUGCUGAGCGUGAGUUCUGCUGUUGCUGCGGCACUAAAGCUCUCUCUGUGUCUGUCUGUAUAUGUGCAUGUCUCUGUUCCUUCCUCUUCUCGACCCUUCCGUUCCACAUGUGCCCUCUCCCCUCCCUCCCUCCCUCCCUCCCUCCGUCUUUCUCUCUUCUGAUGGCUGUGUUGCUGUGUGUUGCGCUUACCUCUUAUUCCUUUUUUCUUCUCGGGCGCUCUGUUUGUCUGUCUGUCUCUCUCUCUACCUCCCCCCUCAUGUCUUCACCUCUCUGUAGGUGUGCGUCUCUCUCUCUCUGUGUUGUUUCGGAUUGUCCUCAGGGUGUGAACGCCGAGAAGAAGAGCACGUGAGAAGGACAGGUAACAUCCUGAAAAC
RNAcentral lists this unclassified non-coding RNA (3713 nucleotides) under Leishmania donovani. RNAcentral describes it as "gene:LdHU3.24.1690(CDS-product:High-temperature-i nduced_dauer-formation_protein/Dyggve-Melchior-Clausen_synd rome_protein_putative)". Lineage: Eukaryota; Euglenozoa; Kinetoplastea; Trypanosomatida; Trypanosomatidae. The record is from RNAcentral.